RNAcentral lists this transfer-messenger RNA (402 nucleotides) under Bacteroidales. RNAcentral describes it as "Phil12 sp018065645 Standard tmRNA". It matches the Rfam family "transfer-messenger RNA". Rfam says of the family: Bacterial tmRNA, also known as 10Sa RNA or SsrA, is named for its dual tRNA and mRNA-like properties. Its role is to liberate the mRNA from a stalled ribosome. To accomplish this part of the tmRNA is used as a reading frame that ends in a translation stop signal. The record is from RNAcentral. Lineage: Bacteria; Pseudomonadati; Bacteroidota; Bacteroidia. RNAcentral also lists the same sequence under 1 other name.
GGGCUUGGGUUGGUUUUGACAGCAAGGUAAAUGGUCAAGCAAGCACGCAGUUACACGCAACAGUUAACUUUAAUCCUGGUUGCAGAAAAAUUAAUUGGCGAAAAUACUUACGCUCUUGCUGCAUAACCGAAGUAUAGUAAGUUAUUCUUUAUCGGCACAAGGUGCUGAGCAGGACGUCUCUCCAAGGCUGUCAACUCUAAGCUGAGGAAAUAGAGAUGCAUCAUAAAUCGAGUUUAGUUUGCAAUCUUCUCCGUAUUGCAGAUGAAUGAAAAUUUAGGAGAUAAGAAAAGAGAGAAGUUGUCUGUCUAUUGCUCUUUUCCGACAACCUUAGAUAGAAUAAGCGUGUAGAAAACUUGGGUGUUUCUUGUUUGGACCAGGGUUCGAAUCCCUGCAGGUCCACAU